Molecule: small nuclear RNA, 123 nt
Organism: Nomascus leucogenys (northern white-cheeked gibbon)
Lineage: Eukaryota; Metazoa; Chordata; Mammalia; Primates; Hylobatidae
Rfam family: U2 spliceosomal RNA
About the family: U2 is a small nuclear RNA (snRNA) component of the spliceosome (involved in pre-mRNA splicing). Complementary binding between U2 snRNA (in an area lying towards the 5' end but 3' to hairpin I) and the branchpoint sequence (BPS) of the intron results the bulging out of an unpaired adenosine, on the BPS, which initiates a nucleophilic attack at the intronic 5' splice site, thus starting the first of two transesterification reactions that mediate splicing.
Source: Rfam
UCCUCUAUCCUAGGACAAUAUACUAAAUGGAUUUUUGGAGCAGGGACGUGGACUAUGAGCUUGCUCUGUCCACUCCACGCAUCAACCUGGUAUUGCUGUACCUCUAGGAAUGGUGCACCCCUC